RNAcentral lists this ribosomal RNA (448 nucleotides) under uncultured bacterium. Its description in RNAcentral is "bacterial SSU rRNA". It matches the Rfam family "Bacterial small subunit ribosomal RNA", at positions 330 to 794 of the family's 1533-position model. The record is from RNAcentral.
GCCAGACUCCUACGGGAGGCAGCAGUCGGGAAUAUUGCGCAAUGGAGGAAACUCUGACGCAGUGACGCCGCGUAUAGGAAGAAGGUUUUCGGAUUGUAAACUAUUGUAGACAGGGAAGAAGAAAGACAGUACCUGUAGAGUAAGCUCCGGCUAACUACGUGCCAGCAGCCGCGGUAAUACGUAGGGAGCAAGCGUUAUCCGGAAUUAUUGGGUGUAAAGGGUGCGUAGACGGGAAUACAAGUUAGUUGUGAAAUCCCUCGGCUUAACUGAGGAACUGCAACUAAAACUAUAUUUCUUGAGUGCGGGAGAGGAAAGUGGAAUUCCUAGUGUAGCGGUGAAAUGCGUAGAUAUUAGGAGGAACACCAGUGGCGAAGGCGACUUUCUGGACCGUAACUGACGUUGAGGCACGAAAGUGUGGGGAGCAAACAGGAUUAGAUACCCGGGUACA